RNAcentral lists this ribosomal RNA (433 nucleotides) under uncultured bacterium. Its description in RNAcentral is "partial 16S ribosomal RNA". It matches the Rfam family "Bacterial small subunit ribosomal RNA", at positions 29 to 507 of the family's 1533-position model. The record is from RNAcentral.
AACGAACGCUGGCGGCAUGCCUAACACAUGCAAGUCGAACGAGACCUUCGGGUUUAGUGGCGCACGGGUGCGUAACGCGUGGGAACCUGCCCUUAGGUUCGGAAUAACUCCCCGAAUGGGGUGCUAAUACCGGAUAAUGUCUUCGGACCAAAGAUUUAUCGCCUUUGGAUGGGCCCGCGUUGGAUUAGCUUGUUGGUAGGGUAAAAGCCUACCAAGGCGACGAUCCAUAGCUGGUCUGAGAGGAUGAUCAGCCACACUGGGACUGAGACACGGCCCAGACUACUACGGGAGGCAGCAGUGGGGAAUAUUGGACAAUGGGCGGAAGCAUGAUCCAGCAAUGCCGCGUGAGUGAUGAAGGCCUUAGGGUUGUAAAGCUCUUUUACCCGGGAUGAUAAUGACGGUACCGGGAGAAUAAGCACCGGCUAACUCCGUG